AACCUCCGCAAUGUGAGAAAUCGCGACGGGGGGAUCCCAAGUGCCAUUCUUAACGGGAUGGCUUUCCUUAAGUGUAAAAAGCUUUUGGAAUAAGAGCUGGGCAAGACCGGUGCCAGCCGCCGCGGUAACACCGGCAGCUCUAGUGGUAGCAAUUUUUAUUGGGCCUAAAGCGUCCGUAGCCGGUUUAAUAAGUCUCUGGUGAAAUCCUGUAGCUUAACUGUGGGAAUUGCUGGAGAUACUAUUAGACUUGAGACCGGGAGAGGUUAGAGGUACUCCCAGGGUAGAGGUGAAAUUCUGUAAUCCUGGGAGGACCGCCUGUUGCGAAGGCGUCUAACUGGAACGAUUCUGACGGUGAGGGACGAAAGUUAGGGGCGCGAACCGGAUUAGAUACCCGGGGUAUCCUAACUGUAAACGAUGCGGACUUGGUGUUGGGGUGGCUUUGAGCUGCUCCAGUGCCGAAGGGAAGCUGUUAAGUCCGCCGCCUGGGAAGUACGGUCGCAAGACUGAAACUUAAAGGAAUU
RNAcentral lists this ribosomal RNA (521 nucleotides) under uncultured bacterium. RNAcentral's name for it is "bacterial SSU rRNA". It matches the Rfam family "Archaeal small subunit ribosomal RNA", at positions 345 to 866 of the family's 1478-position model. The record is from RNAcentral.